Molecule: long non-coding RNA, 535 nt
Organism: Zophobas morio
Lineage: Eukaryota; Metazoa; Arthropoda; Insecta; Coleoptera; Tenebrionidae
Exons: 2
Source: RefSeq, a predicted model, not a curated record
ACAGAACGAUUACUCUUUUCUAAAGCAUUUUUCGGACUCGGUAUUAAGAUGAGACUUGCUCUUGUUACAUAAUUUCCGUUCUGAAAAGCCAUUGAGCAAUUUGUGAAUUUAAUGUACGCUGGAACUGUCAACCGCAUGCAAUACGCUCUAUAAAAAAAUUUACGAAAUUUAUGGACGAGAAGUGUGCUGGAGGUGUGGUCGAAAGAAAAAAUUAAGCGGGGCUUGGGGAAAUUUGCGCUUUCUGGGCGGCUUCUUCGUCGAAGAGGAUGAGCGUGCUCGAAUUAUGGAACUGAAGUAUCACGUUUUCUGUUUUUUGCUGCAGCGGUGACGUCAAUCGAGCGUGGGUAAAAACCGGAGGUAGUUUUGAGAAGACAAUUGGAUGAGAUUGAAUCAGUGUUAUUAAAUUGGUUGCCAAUGAGAGGAUAGAUAUUUAAUAGUGGAAGAAUUAUCAAAGAAAAAAGAUGGAAAACAGGAUAAAGAAAAUUUCCAGUACUAGUCGUAUAAUAGCUUUUAAUAAAAGUAGGAGUCACUGACA